RNAcentral lists this microRNA precursor (112 nucleotides) under Marmota monax (woodchuck). Lineage: Eukaryota; Metazoa; Chordata; Mammalia; Rodentia; Sciuridae. The record is from RNAcentral.
UCACAUUACCUUCUCUCUCUCUCUCUCUCUCUCUCUCUCUCUCUCUCUCUCACACACACACACACACACAGGAGAGAGAGAGAGAGAGAGAGAGAGAGAGAUGAAUGUGAUG